RNAcentral lists this long non-coding RNA (216 nucleotides) under Lathyrus oleraceus (garden pea). RNAcentral's name for it is "Pisum sativum (pea) long non-coding RNA (PSAT_LNC014870)". Lineage: Eukaryota; Viridiplantae; Streptophyta; Magnoliopsida; Fabales; Fabaceae. The record is from RNAcentral.
AAAGAUAUCAUUAAUUUUGUAUGGAAAAAAUAUUAUCUUAAAAAGUUGUUUUAUAACAUAAUGACAUGGAAAAUAAAAGUAAAAAUAAUAGAAAGAAAAAAAUAAUAAAUAGUAGAUGAUAUAAUGCAUAACUAAGACAACUUUUUUAUAUAUAAAUAUAUAAUUUAAAAUUUAGAAUGAAAAAUAAAUGUUUAUUCUGAUGGAGGUUUUAGAGGG